AGUGAACGCUGGCGGCGUGCCUAAUACAUGCAAGUCGAACGGAGAUUCAGUAGCUUGCUAUUUAAUCUUAGUGGCGCACGGGUGAGUAAUAUAUAGCUAACUUGCCCAUUACUAAGGGACAACAGUUGGAAACGACUGCUAAUACCUUAUACUCCGUAUCUAUAUAAGUAGAUACGGGAAAGUUUUUCGGUAAUGGAUAGGGCUAUAUCGUAUCAGCUAGUUGGUAAGGUAAUGGCUUACCAAGGCUAUGACGCGUAACUGGUCUGAGAGGAUGAUCAGUCACACUGGAACUGAGACACGGGCCAGACUCCUACGGGAGGCAGCAGUAGGGAAUAUUGCUCAAUGGGGGAAACCCCGAAGCAGCAACGCCGCGUGGAGGAGGACACUUUUCGGAGCGUAAACUCCUUUUCUUGGGAAAGAAUUAUGACGGUACCCAAGGAAUAAGCACCGGCUAACUCCGUG
Molecule: ribosomal RNA, 462 nt
Filed under: uncultured bacterium
Lineage: Bacteria
Description: partial 16S ribosomal RNA
Rfam family: Bacterial small subunit ribosomal RNA
Source: RNAcentral